Molecule: non-coding RNA, 23 nt
Filed under: Arabidopsis thaliana (thale cress)
Lineage: Eukaryota; Viridiplantae; Streptophyta; Magnoliopsida; Brassicales; Brassicaceae
Source: RNAcentral
ACGUUAAAUUCAUCGCCUUUGGA